This 66-nucleotide transfer RNA is filed under the name Allacta transversa. Its description in RNAcentral is "tRNA-Trp". The record is from RNAcentral. Lineage: Eukaryota; Metazoa; Arthropoda; Insecta; Blattodea; Pseudophyllodromiidae.
AAGGCUUUAAGUUAAAUAAACUAUUAACCUUCAAAGCUAAACAUAAAGUAAAUUCUUUAAGCCUUA